UAAAUACUCCCCCCGUACGAAAAUACUUGUCAUCAAAAUGGAUAAAAAGAGAUGUAUCUAAAACUAAAAUACGUCUAGAUACAUUUCCUUUUAUCCAUUUUGAUGACAAUUAUUUCCGGACGGAGGGAGUAUUUG
Molecule: non-coding RNA, 135 nt
Organism: Triticum aestivum (bread wheat)
Lineage: Eukaryota; Viridiplantae; Streptophyta; Magnoliopsida; Poales; Poaceae
Source: Rfam